AACAAAGGUUCUAGGGCCAGGACGUACAGCAAUGGGGAGAGUGGGCACCCUUGCCUCGUUCCAUUUGUGAUCUAAAAGGGAGAGGAGAGGAAUCCCGACUGGAGCACUUGCGCCGAAGGAUUCGCAUAGAGUGCGAAUAUUUGUCGGCACACCUGGAGCGGGACCCCAUAUGCCUCCAAUACCCCUUGGAGGAAGGGCCAGCCCAGGCGGUCGAACGCCUUUUCGGC
Non-coding RNA from Pelobates cultripes (western spadefoot toad), 227 nucleotides. Lineage: Eukaryota; Metazoa; Chordata; Amphibia; Anura; Pelobatidae. The record is from the annotation of a GenBank genome assembly.